AGCGAGGUAGAGUAAUUGGUCAACUCAUUAAGAUCAUGGUUUGAGAAUUACAGGUUCGAAUCUUGUCCCCGUCU
RNAcentral lists this transfer RNA (74 nucleotides) under Amborella trichopoda. It matches the Rfam family "tRNA". From Rfam's summary of the family: Transfer RNA (tRNA) molecules are approximately 80 nucleotides in length. Their secondary structure includes four short double-helical elements and three loops (D, anti-codon, and T loops). Lineage: Eukaryota; Viridiplantae; Streptophyta; Magnoliopsida; Amborellales; Amborellaceae. The record is from Rfam by way of RNAcentral.